AGCAGCCGCGGUAAUUCCAGCUCCAAUAGCGUAUAUUAAAGUUGUUGCAGUUAAAAGCUCGUAGUUGAAUUUCGGGAUCAGCAGGUUGGUCGUGCCUACGGUAUGAACUGGCCUUGCUGAUUCCUCCCUCUUGAUGAGCCGUAAUGCCAUUAAUUUGGUGUUGCGGGGAAUCAGGACUGUUACUUUGAAAAAUUAGGGUGUUUAAGCAGGCAAGCGCUUGAAUACAUUAGCAUGGAAUAAUGAAAUAGGACGUUUGAUCCUAUUUUGUUGGUUUCUAGGAUUGACGUAAUGAUUAAUAGGGAUAGUUGGGGGCAUUAGUAUUCAAUUGUCAGAGGUGAAAUUCUUGGAUUUAUUGAAGACUAACUACUGCGAAAGCAUUUGCCAGGAUGUUUUCAUUAAUCAAGAACGAAAGUUAGGGGAUCGAAGACGAUCAGAUACCGUCGUAGUCUUAACCAUAAAACUAUGCCGACUAGGGAUCGGAUGAUGUUAAUUUUUUUAAUGACUCAUUCGGCGCCUUACG
RNAcentral lists this ribosomal RNA (520 nucleotides) under uncultured Glomus. Its description in RNAcentral is "SSU rRNA". It matches the Rfam family "Eukaryotic small subunit ribosomal RNA", at positions 569 to 1092 of the family's 1831-position model. Lineage: Eukaryota; Fungi; Glomeromycota; Glomeromycetes; Glomerales; Glomeraceae. The record is from RNAcentral.